GGAAAAUUCAUCAGACUGAGAUUUUGACUCUAGGAGAUAAUUCAUCAGACUAGGUCCAUUUUUAUGUGAUCCCGACUUUCUUAAUUUUCCAAAUUCCAACUUCUUUUCUUUUCAAAUUCUGUCUUCUUUUCUUGUUCCCAAAUUAUGUCUUCUUUUCUUCUUCUUUUUUUCGACUUCUGUCUUCUCCUUCUUUAAAUUAUGCCUUCCUUUCUUUUUCCUCAAAUUUUGCCUUCCAUUCUUUUUUCCAACUUCUGCCUUUAUCUAAAUUAUGCCCUCCUUUCUUUUCCAACUUCUGCCUUUAUCUUUUUCCAAAUUAUGCCUUCCUUUCGUUUUUCCAACUUUUGCAUUUAUCUUAGGUGAAAGAUUCAUCAGACUAAGAUUUCUUUAUCUUAGGUGAAAAAUUCAACAGACUAAGAUUUCUUUAUCCAAGGUGAAAAAUUCAUCAGACUAAGAUUUCUUUUAACCAUUUUCCUUCAAAAUUUGUUUUAUCUACCCACUAACUUGAAUUAUCUUCCUUCAGAACUGCUUCCCUAAAAACUGGUGUUGUCCUCCUUCAAAAAACCACUUCCCUAAAAACUAGUGUUUCAUUCCUCCAAAAAUUACUUUUCUUAGAACUGGUGUUUCUUUCCUGAAAACUACUUCCCUAUCUUUUUCUCUUUUUUUAAAGACACUUGUAUUGACCUUCAUGUUCUUCAGAUGGGUACCCGAAAAAAAAUUUCAACACGACAGAAAAUUUUCUGCCCCAGUUUGAUAA
RNAcentral lists this long non-coding RNA (754 nucleotides) under Nicotiana tabacum (common tobacco). RNAcentral describes it as "long non-coding RNA (NTAB_LNC015215)". Lineage: Eukaryota; Viridiplantae; Streptophyta; Magnoliopsida; Solanales; Solanaceae. The record is from RNAcentral.